GAUGAACGCUGGCGGCGUGCCUAAUACAUGCAAGUCGAGCGAACAGACGAGGAGCUUGCUCCUCUGACGUUAGCGGCGGACGGGUGAGUAACACGUGGAUAACCUACCUAUAAGACUGGGAUAACUUCGGGAAACCGGAGCUAAUACCGGAUAAUAUAUUGAACCGCAUGGUUCAAUAGUGAAAGACGGUUUUGCUGUCACUUUUAGAUGGAUCCGCGCCGCAUUAGCUAGUUGGUAAGGUAACGGCUUACCAAGGCAACGAUGCGUAGCCGACCUGAGCGGGUGAUCGGCCACACUGGAACUGAGACACGGUCCAGACUCCUACGGGAGGCAGCAGUAGGGAAUCUUCCGCAAUGGGCGAAAGCCUGACGGAGCAACGCCGCGUGAGUGAUGAAGGUCUUCGGAUCGUAAAACUCUGUUAUUAGGGAAGAACAGAUGUGUAAGUAACUAUGCACGUCUUGACGGUACCUAAUCAGAAAGCCACGGCUAACUACGUG
This 497-nucleotide ribosomal RNA is filed under the name uncultured bacterium. RNAcentral describes it as "partial 16S ribosomal RNA". It matches the Rfam family "Bacterial small subunit ribosomal RNA", at positions 28 to 507 of the family's 1533-position model. The record is from RNAcentral.